AGUGAACGCUGGCGGUAGGCCUAACACAUGCAAGUCGAACGGCAGCACAGUAAGAGCUUGCUCUUACGGGUGGCGAGUGGCGGACGGGUGAGGAAUACAUCGGAAUCUACUUUUUCGUGGGGGAUAAUGUAGGGAAACUUACGCUAAUACCGCAUACGACCUACGGGUGAAAGCAGGGGAUCUUCGGACCUUGCGCGAUUGAAUGAGCCGAUGUCGGAUUAGCUAGUUGGCGGGGUAAAGGCCCACCAAGGCGAUGAUCCGUAGCUGGUCUGAGAGGAUGACAGCCACCCCGGGAACUGAGCAGCGGCCAAGACCCCUCGGGGGGGGGCAAGGGGGAAUUUUUGGAAAAGGGGCGAAGGCUGGACCAACCCAUCCCGGGGGGGGGAAGAAGGCUUUCGGUUUUAAAACCCUUUUUGUGGGAAAAAAAAAGCAGCAGUUUAAUCCCCGGUUUUCUGGAGGGUACCAAAAAAAAAAGCCCCGGCAACCUUCGUG
This 492-nucleotide ribosomal RNA is filed under the name uncultured bacterium. Its description in RNAcentral is "partial 16S ribosomal RNA". It matches the Rfam family "Bacterial small subunit ribosomal RNA", at positions 29 to 507 of the family's 1533-position model. The record is from RNAcentral.